RNAcentral lists this long non-coding RNA (1273 nucleotides) under Dasypus novemcinctus (nine-banded armadillo). RNAcentral's name for it is "lncRNA (ENSDNOG00000050822.1)". The stretch from base 428 to 485 matches the Rfam family "tRNA", at positions 8 to 63 of the family's 71-position model. The record is from RNAcentral. Lineage: Eukaryota; Metazoa; Chordata; Mammalia; Cingulata; Dasypodidae.
UACCUAGAAGACAGGCCUGUCCAGCCGUGAGGAGCACGGCAGUUGUCCAGGGGUGGUGGAAAGGGGCUGGCAGUGGUAGUGGGGUGCGUAGAAGCCCGGGGACUGGUGGAGCCUCCUGCUGGAAGCCCUGUGGUUGGCCCGUUCUUCCCAACACGCUCCUUCUGAUUCUGGCUCAGCCCACAGGGUCAAGUUAGCAGUUGGCCUUGACUGGUGGAAGGAGGCCCAAGGGAGGAAACUGUUGACUGUGACUCCCUAAACUCUCCUGCUGAUCCUGAGUAUCAGUACUUAUCUCUCCCUCACUCCUGGCUCACCUUAAUUUGGGGAACGUUCAGAGGCAACCUGAACCAGUCUAUUCUCAGGACCUAAACUUGGGCAAACCCUGGCCAGAGCAGUACUGUGUUAAAGGUGGGGGUCAGGGCAGCGGUCUUGGCCCAGUGGUUAGGGCGUCCGUCUACCACACGGGAGGUCCGCGGUUCAAACCCCGGGCCUCCUUGACCCGUGAGAAGCUGGCCCAUGCACAGUGCUGAUGCGCGCAAGGAGUGCCCUGCCAUGCAGGGGUGUCCCCCGCGUAGGGGAGCCCCACGCGCAAGGAGUGCACCCUGUAAGGAGAGCCGCCCAGCGCAAAAGAAAGUCCAGCCUGCCCAGGAAUGAUGCCCACACACGGAGAGCUGACACAACAACAAGAUGACGCAACAAAGAGAAACACAGAUUCCCCUGCCGCUGCACAAAUCUAAAUGGACAAGAGUCACCUCCCACCGACCAGAUGCUUGCUUUCCCAGCCUUCGCCCCUUGCAGCCAUGUGACCAGGGAUUAGCUAAUCAGAUGCUUCUGCCUCAGCUUCUCAAUCUAGGGCAGGGGUCGUAACCUUUUUUGUUCCAUGGACCCCUUGCCAGUCAGGUGAAAACCACGGACCCCUUACUAAGUCCACACUAUACUGUGUAUUACUUAAUAAAUAUAUCACACCUGCACCAAAACGUCCCCACAAGAAUGUUUUUUUGAAUUUUCUAUUCAAACUCCUGGACCCCCUGAAAUCUUUCCACAGACCCCCAAGGUUAGAACCUCUGAUCUAGAGCAAAGCAGAAGGGCAAGUGGAAAAUGCAUGCUGGUGUCACUGGUGACUCUUACUGCUAAACGCCUAGAUCCUCUCAUUGAAAAGAAAAAGUGUAAACCUUCAACAUGCAGAAAAUUACAGUACAGAGAGUAAUAUCCCUAUUCAUACCACUGAAACCCGACAACUGUUAACAUCUUGCUACAUUUGAUUCAGAGGCAGCCC